Molecule: RNA transcript, 3333 nt
Organism: Corylus avellana
Lineage: Eukaryota; Viridiplantae; Streptophyta; Magnoliopsida; Fagales; Betulaceae
Gene name: ubiquitin-protein ligase
Source: RefSeq, a predicted model, not a curated record
CAUGUCGUGUAUGGCAAAUGAAAUAUGAAAGUGAGUGAGGAACCGGCAGAAAAAUACGACAUCGUCGCGGCGAGGCAAAAAGCAAGGGUCUAACGGCAGAGAAUGAAAACGACAGGGAAAAGUCUCUCUUCUUGUCAUUGAACAAAGCUCUUAUCAGCGAUCACAAGCUCAGACAAGUCCCAUGGCGUCAAGCUCAGACGACGAUGACUUCGUUAUUCUCGUAUGCACAAAUCCCAACCCAAUCGAAGCAGAGACUAAGCAGAAAGAGAUUAACAUUUCUACCAGAGAUAUCCUAAGCUGGGAUUUGCCCACAAUUCUCAGUUACCAGACACUCAAAGUCCACGCAUCUCGAAUUAGGCUCGUUGAACAAUCUUCGUAUUUCCGAGGCCUCCUCAGCGGGAGCUUUAGUGAAUCAUGCCUGGAAUGUAUAUCAAUUCAGUGGAGCCUGGAAACAUUUGUGGAUGUUCUCAAGUGUAUUUAUGGGUGCACAUUGGAUGUUACAUCGAAUAAUAUCGUUCCUCUUUUUGAGGGUGCACUUUAUUUUGGGGUGGAGAGGCUUCUCUUGAAGUGUAGAGUUUGGUUUUCUGAGGUAUCUUCUUCCGAGGAUUCCGGGUCACCGCAAAUACAACUGGAUGAUUUAAUUCAUAUUUGGAGAUUUGGUUUAGAGUGCGCAAACGAUUUUCUUCCAGAAUUAUGUGCGAGCUAUCUUGCAAGGAACUUUAUGUGGGCCACGUCUAGCAAAUUUUUUAUAGAUGUUCCAUACAAGUUGCUUUUAUCUUGUACUCAGCAUCCCCACUUGACGAUUGACAGUGAGAUGCAUCUUUCUGAUGCACUUUUAGUUUGGGUUGAUGCUUAUGCGGAACAGUUGGAAAACUUCAGCAGAACUGGCAAUGAUUGUCAUAGCAUCUUUAGACAAGUCCGCAUUAGCCUUUUGCCUUUAUGGUUUGCUGCAGGGAAAAGAAGGUCUCGCCAUUUCUCUAAGCUUUUUGAGGAGAGCAUUGACUCAAUUUUUAGACUAAUGACUGUUCCACCCCCAUUUUCCGUGAAUUUCUUAGGAGAUGGUGACGUGCAGCAUCUCAGGAUUCGAUUAACGGAAUAUUCCAAGAAGGUGAACCUUUCAGGUUGUCCACAGAUAACAUUAGCCAUUAUGCUCCUUUCUGUGCUUCCUUCUUCACAUGCUGUGGAACCUGCAUUACGAAAUAUUGUUAAUCAGAUUUCCCUUAUCCUUGAAAGUCUCGAGGAGGGAGAUAAAUGUCUGAAUCUACUGUGUUUGCUGCCGAUGUCUUCCUUUGAAGCAGUGCAGGAGGUAGAUAUUUCCAAGUGUCAAAAGCUGCAUCUUGAAGCUGCCAUUAUGUGCUUCAGCAUGUCAUUUCCUUCUAUAAGAACACUGAAAGCAGCUUAUCUUUUGAAUGUCAAGACAACAAUUUUGCAUCAAUUGGUGCAGAACUUCCCUCUGCUCUGUGAAGUUGACUUAAGCAGUGAUAUUAGUCCUCUUAUACCAGCACAGGUGUCAGUUGUAUCCUCAAGUCCAGCUAUUACACUAUCACCAUCAAACAAGUUCUUUAGGGUUGUUGAUGAUCCUGUGGAUGUUACAUCAUCAAAAAGGUCUGGACUAUCAUUGUCAAAUAUCACAAAACUCACGCUGGAGGGCCGAAGUGAUCUCUGUGAUUUGGAUCUCCAGUAUAUCUCAAAAUUCCGCGCUUCCUUGCAAGACCUGAACCUUAAAGGGUGCAUAUCAUUAACAGAUGUUGGUAUAUCAAAUCUUCUAUGCAAAUGUAUGAAACUACACUCAAUUGUAGUCUGUGAUACUUCUUUUGGGAUUAAAUCAGUGCUGGCUCUUUGCUCUGGUAUUUCUGAUCAUGAUAACCAUCCUGCUGCCUGUGUUGGAUUGAAGCAUAAUUCUUUGGCAUUUAAUCUUCGAAAACUGCAUAUGGGUGGCUGCAAGGGUGUCGAUGAAACAUCUCUUCUAAAGCUUCUGUCUCAAACACAAAUGCUGAAGAGUCUUUGCUUGAGGGACGCUCACCUGGUUGACCAAGCUCUGCAUUGUUUCCCAGGUUCUUCCUUGGAGAUGCUUGAUGUUUCUAAUACUAUGGUUUCUGGAGCUGCGUUAGCUUGGAUAGUCCGUGGAAAUCCUGGUUUGAAGUGCUUGAAAGUGAGGGGCUGCAGAGAUAUGUGUCAACCAGAAAGUAACACCUCAGGGGGGGAAUUUUCAUCCUCGUAUACAUUUAAAGAACUGUAUGUUGAGUUAGGCAAGAAAUGCAGAUUAGAAGAAAUUGCACUAGGAUGGGGAUUCUCUUGCUUUUCUCUGGAAGCUCUCCAACCUGCUAUUAUGUCACUAAGGUCAAUAACUGUGGGUUUAGGUGGCUCAUUAGGUGAAAAUGGACUGAAGCAACUAUCCGCAACUUGUCCAAUGUUAGAGUCAGUAAUUUUUCAUUUUCAGGUCAUAUCUGACACUGUCAUAACGAACAUGAUGACAUCCUUGAGAAAUUUGCGAGUGUUGGCUUUGUGCUAUUGCCUUGGUGAUAUAUCUAUAUCAAGCUUCAACUUUUCUAUGCCAAAUCUGAAGAAAUUGCAGCUUGAAAGAGUAACCCCUUGGAUGACAAAUAAUGAUUUGGCUAUUCUGACUCAGAAUUGUGCAAACUUGGUUGAGCUUUCACUGCUAGGAUGUAAGCUUCUCAAUUCAGAUUCUCAACAGAUCAUCUCACAUGGAUGCCCAGGCUUGACUUCUAUCCAUCUAGAGGUGCUUCUGAUGGAGAUGAGUGAUGGUUAAAGCUCCAAGAGCACCUGCUGUCUUCUUCAUCUUCUUGCUCUUGUUGAGUUUCCUGAGAAAAAAAAAAAUAUAUAUAUAUAUAUGAAAAAACAAAAGAGAAUGGAAAACAAGAAAGAAAUUUGGUUUAAAUAGCCUGAGAAAAUCUUGAAUAAAACUCUCACAUUGGGCGUUUAGUGCUUCUAGCCAAAAUGCUUGCUCUGUGUUGAUGACAAAUGAUCUAAGCCACCGCUCCUCCCCUUGUAUCUUUUCUCAUAUGUAUGAUUUUUUUCGCUGCAUAGUCAUUUAGCAUGACAUGAUUGUCUACUUAUUCAUUCCCUGGAAUGCCUCUAGAGGUGUUACUUGUGCUAUUUCAACCAUCAAAGCUUUGGUUUAUUUUCAGUAUUUAGUACUCAUGAAAGUGUAGUGAGGUUUCUGCCCUUUCAGUGCUCAUGAAUGUUUCCAUAUUUAAUGGCAUUGUUGUAUAGGACUGUGGAGAAGUAACUUCAAAUGGGGUUUCUUCUCUUCUCGAUUGCAUGGCUCUUGAAGAUCUCUUGCUGCGUCAUAAUGGCCCUGGGAUACAGAAA